GCUGGAUGACUAAGGAGGCUGAGUCUGACACAGCAAGACUCUGCUGACUACAAUUGUCCUAGAAAAAGGGUUGGAGAAAGUGGGAGAUCUGUGAAGGAUCUUCUGACUACAGUGGGAGUACCUGUCCUGA
Molecule: non-coding RNA, 130 nt
Organism: Equus caballus (horse)
Lineage: Eukaryota; Metazoa; Chordata; Mammalia; Perissodactyla; Equidae
Source: Ensembl